UACGGAGGGUGCAAGCGUUAUCCGGAUUCACUGGGUUUAAAGGGUGUGUAGGCGGAUACUUAAGUCAGUGGUGAAAUCUCCGGGCUCAACCCGGAAACUGCCAUUGAUACUAUAUAUCUUGAAUUCUGUUGAGGUGGGCGGAAUACAUCAUGUAGCGGUGAAAUGCUUAGAUAUGAUGUAGAACACCGAUUGCGAAGGCAGCUCACUAAACAGACAUUGACGCUGAGGCACGAAAGCGUGGGGAUCAAACAGGAUUAGAUACCCUGGUAGUCCACGCCCUAAACGAUGACUACUCGACAUACGCGAUACACAGUGUGUGUCUGAGCGAAAGCAUUAAGUAAUCCACCUGGGAAGUACGAUCGCAAGAUUGAA
Molecule: ribosomal RNA, 372 nt
Filed under: uncultured bacterium
Lineage: Bacteria
Description: bacterial SSU rRNA
Rfam family: Bacterial small subunit ribosomal RNA
Source: RNAcentral